GGGGGUAUAGUAUAGUGGUAAUUAUAUUAGUUUUGCACGUUAAAGACCUGAGUUCGAUUCUCAGUACCUCCA
RNAcentral lists this transfer RNA (72 nucleotides) under Caudoviricetes sp. RNAcentral describes it as "tRNA-Ala". It matches the Rfam family "tRNA". Rfam says of the family: Transfer RNA (tRNA) molecules are approximately 80 nucleotides in length. Their secondary structure includes four short double-helical elements and three loops (D, anti-codon, and T loops). The record is from RNAcentral. Lineage: Duplodnaviria; Heunggongvirae; Uroviricota; Caudoviricetes.